Bactrocera neohumeralis is the source of this 788-nucleotide long non-coding RNA. RefSeq lists it as uncharacterized. The record is from RefSeq and is a predicted model, not a curated record. NCBI's taxonomy places the organism in Eukaryota, Metazoa, Arthropoda, Insecta, Diptera, Tephritidae. The transcript is spliced from 3 exons.
GGAGUCACCAUCAUUGUCCAGCAUACGUUUACCGACGUUCUUCAAUAUGGCACGAUUCAAUUCUACCUGUUGCAGUCAUGGAUGAAAUUCACAAAAACGUGGCUGGAGAAACUGGCAAUAUUGGAAUCAAAUAUGUGAAUAGGGGUAGUUUUUCAAUUUCCUUGACAUUCUCAUCUAUAACGGUAAUCUAUCAACCCUGGCGACUAAAAGGAACGGCUGAAGUAUGAUAUGGUACUAAUUAUGUAUUGAUACCCUGUUGUCAAUUCAACUAGUUAUAAAAUACUUUGCAAAUUGUAUGGUCUUGGUAUUUUUCAAGCGUGAUGUUCGUCAAGAUCAUUUGCAGGAUUUCAGUCUAAACUAAACCAGUGUUAUUCUACACAUCUACUGUUGUUGGUUGCAAGAUUAACAAAUUGAAGAAAAUCAUUUUGUAAUAGUAGAAACUGCACCAAUAAAUCUUCUAUGUUUUCUUGUCUAGUUCGACUGCCACUUGUUCUGGAGUAGUUUAUUUCCUGAAUAGAUUGAUGCUACAGUGGAGAUUACUUAACCAUAUACAUAUGUAUGUAUGUAAAUAUGCUGAUGGAAUGACUAAUUGACUUUAUCUUAUCUUCUACGUUCAACACGGCGCUAUUCACCUUCUCGCUUAUGUCCGCACUCACAUACAAGCAUCACACAUGUAUUUGCAACAAAAAAUGCGGGUGUCUACCUCACUAUGCUCUUCUCAACACAGAUGUAGAAUGACAUUGACGAUGAGUUGACAAAUCAAUUUAUCAAGCGACUCGUGUCGUAAA